This 292-nucleotide ribosomal RNA is filed under the name uncultured bacterium. RNAcentral's name for it is "partial 16S ribosomal RNA". It matches the Rfam family "Bacterial small subunit ribosomal RNA", at positions 505 to 796 of the family's 1533-position model. The record is from RNAcentral.
GUGUCAGCAGCCGCGGUAAUACGUAGGGUGCGAGCGUUAAUCGGAAUUACUGGGCGUAAAGCGUGCGCAGGCGGUUUAUUAAGACAGAUGUGAAAUCCCCGGGCUUAACCUGGGAACUGCAUUUGUGACUGGUAGGCUAGAGUGUAGCAGAGGGGGGUAGAAUUCCACGUGUAGCAGUGAAAUGCGUAGAGAUGUGGAGGAAUACCGAUGGCGAAGGCAGCCCCCUGGGUUAACACUGACGCUCAUGCACGAAAGCGUGGGGAGCAAACAGGAUUAGAUACCCUAGUAGUCC